This 316-nucleotide ribosomal RNA is filed under the name uncultured eukaryote. RNAcentral's name for it is "partial 18S ribosomal RNA". It matches the Rfam family "Eukaryotic small subunit ribosomal RNA", at positions 1470 to 1796 of the family's 1831-position model. The record is from RNAcentral.
CCCUUAGAUGUUCUGGGCCGCACGCGUGCUACACUGACCGGCGCAACAAGCUUUUUUCCUUGGCUCGACAGGCCUGGGUAAUCUUCGAACGCCGGUCGUGAUGGGGAUAGAUCCUUGCAAUUUUUGAUCUUCAACGAGGAAUUCCUAGUAAAUGCGAGUCAUCAUCUCGCGUUGAUUACGUCCCUGCCCUUUGUACACACCGCCCGUCGCACCUACCGAUUGAAUGGUCCGGUGAAGCCUCCGGAUUGGCGCGCACCCCGGUGCCGCCGAGAAGUUGGCUAAACCUUACCAUUUAGAGGAAGGUGAAGUCGUAACA